CGGUUUCACAGAUAAGUAAACCAGAAAAAGCUGAAGAACCCAAAGAAAUGUUAAACGUAGAUUAAUAGUUAUUCGGAGUACAAGAUCCGGACAAGAAAGAUUCUGCCACUGAGGAAGAUAAACUUGAGGUAUCGUGGGGAAAACCAAAGGGGAACUGGCUGGAAUUCCUAAAAGCCAAAAUGUGGGAUUUUGCCGUAGCGAGGAACUGAGGCUCCUGCUGGCCAUGCACCAGCUCACGAGCCAUGGCAGCAACCUUACAGCACUGGCCAGGCCACCAGGUGACCACAGCCUCAGCAGACACGUCGGAGGGUCCCACGCUCCUAAAUCCCUGGCUCAGAAUUCUGCUGCUGAGAAUCCCUGACUCACGGAACUUUGUGUCCAUCACCGUUUUAAGCCACAAGUGUUACCCAUUUCCAAUAAUAUGACUCUUCUAUGUUAUUGAACGUGUAUUAAAAAUUUAUUAAAUAUUUUUAUCCAUUGGGAUCAUAAGUGCAGAGUGUUUUCCAGGGAGUCUAUUAAGUGACAGUUUGAUUUCUCGGUUUAGAUAGAGUUUGAACCAAGAGAAGGGUGAUAACCCCUGAAACACGUAACCUCAAGGUUAUGCAUAGUUCAGCCCUCGGUCCCUCUGGGUGUAUUAUCCACAGAGUGGAAAAAUAUUUUCAGAAUUCAGAAAAACAUUAACGUCAAAACAAAGUAACAAAGGAAUUUCAUGUGAGAUUGGUUUUCAGGACGUUUUGAACUCUUGCGGGGCAGGGGCUGAUCAUUCUAGGGAUGAAGUCCAGGGCCUUCCCACUGAGCUAUACCUCCUGCCCCUUUUCAUUUUUCACUUUGAGAUAGGACAAUGCUAAAUCACUAAAUUGUCCGGGCUGGGCUUGAAUUUGCGAUUCUUUUCCUCGGUCUCUCAGGCUGCUGCGAUUACAGAGGUGCCACCACACCCAACUUGUUUUGAACAAUCAGCUGA
Molecule: long non-coding RNA, 961 nt
Organism: Chinchilla lanigera (long-tailed chinchilla)
Lineage: Eukaryota; Metazoa; Chordata; Mammalia; Rodentia; Chinchillidae
Exons: 3
Source: RefSeq, a predicted model, not a curated record